This 249-nucleotide long non-coding RNA is filed under the name Physcomitrium patens. RNAcentral describes it as "long non-coding RNA (PPAT_LNC005548)". The record is from RNAcentral. Lineage: Eukaryota; Viridiplantae; Streptophyta; Bryopsida; Funariales; Funariaceae.
UGAAGUCAGUGUUGUAAUGGUGAAUCGAGAUUUUUAAAUGAAGUGGGUUUGAAUACUCUUGACUGUUUUGUGAAAUCGAGUUACGUUUGUGAUUGAAGGAUUAAAAGGGUGUCUAUAGGAUUGAGUAUGCGGAGUGAAUGAAAUUUAUUGGGUUAAUCUAACAAGACAGUCAGUGGAUACAAGAUCGUAAGUACAAAGCAGUAUUGAAGGUUAACAGUUUGGGUUGUACGGGGUUCUCUGUAACGUCUA